GCAGGUAAGCCCUCGAUUCACUUACCAGUUUCCAUUUGUACUUUGUAUUUGCAUGGGAGAGAAACCAUGUGGUCACGACAGUUUCGGGACACCAGCUUCUUGACCAUUGAUCAGGUGACACUGACUGUGCUUCCUGCUAAUAAUGUGGAGAGUGGCACUAACGUGAUCUUGCGUUGCGAGGCCAGUGUCAGUCAGAGCCUCCCCCAGCCGCUGACAUACUCCUUCAGCCUCCUGCAGGACAGUCAGGUGAUGUACUCCAAAAAUAGCAGUGCCUCAGUGGUGGAGCGCAGUUUAUCUCCAGCCAGGGUGUCCAACUCUGGUCGCUACCAGUGCAGUGUCCACAUCUACAACAAGCACAAGAUGAGCCUUCAAAUCCCUGUGCUGAAGGUGAUGUCUGACAUCGUGUCUGAGGGGGAAGACAUUAUUGCCACAUGCAGUGCACCAGAGGAGACAGGCAGUCUGAUGUUCUACUUCUACGAGGAUGAUCAGGAGGUCAAGAGAGUCGUUAGUACCAGCAACUCUGUGACAACCACUCUGACCAUGCAGAAGCUCACAGACAUCUACCUGCAUUGUGACUAUAUGGUUAUGAAGCAAUGCAGCGCAGGACACUCCAACAAAAGCAACAUGGUGAAAGUUAUUGUACAAGAUCUUGAUGCGAUCACCCCACAAAUAAGCAUCUCCCCCAAAGUGAAUGUUGUUGAGGGUGACAGGGUGCAGAUCACAUGUAAGGUGCAACUUAACUCAGAUCUUGAGUUGUACCUCACCAAAGGCAACACCCUUCUUCGUGAAUCUCAUACAACCUUCACAUACAGCCUCGUAGUAAGAGCUGAGGAUUCAGGGGUCUAUGUGUAUAAAGCAGAGAAAGGCAGCGUGCAAAAGAAGGCAGUCUAUCUGCUAAAUGUUGCAGAACUGUUCUCAAAGCCAAUUUUGAAAAUGAGCCCAGACCAGCUUUUUGAAGGAGAACGCUUCACUCUGACCUGCAGCAGUACUGUAAUCUCCUCAGUGAAGAUCGGAAAAGCAGACAUAAAGUAUGUUUUGCUGAAAGAUGGCCGACGCAUUGCAGCAGUUGCCAAAUACGAUGACACUGCAAGCCUGGCCACCAAUGGGAACUACUACUGUAUGGCCAUGGCUAAAGAAGUUAACAAGACCAGCUUACCAUUUAUUUUAAAGGCUAAAGUGCCUGUUUCUGCCCCAGUCCUUCGUGCUGUUAAUAAGGUGAUUGUUGGUAAACCAUUCAGAGUUUCAUGUGAGUCUGAAAAUGGAACGUUUCCAAUAACCUACACCUUACUGAAGACCAGCGUUCCAGUGGAUUACAGGACAGUGGUUGAGGCAGCUGACAGGGCGAUCUUUAAUAUAACCUCCAUCAGUUUCCCUGAAGAGAUCUACAGCUUCAUAUGUCAGGCGUCUAACCAUGUGCCAUCAUUCAGUAACACCAGUGAGCCCCUUAGAGCACCAGUCAUAGGAACUCCCUUUGUGAUGGGCAGGAAUGUCUGGAGUGAAAAUGUAUCUGGCUCAGGUAGUACAGAUUUUAAACCGGAUUAUGCCAAAGUAAUGCGAGUUCAUCACAUGACACCCUCUGCUUGCUGUUUUUCUAGAUUCUGA
This is a long non-coding RNA of Sinocyclocheilus grahami, 1602 nucleotides long. Lineage: Eukaryota; Metazoa; Chordata; Actinopteri; Cypriniformes; Cyprinidae. The record is from Ensembl.